GCUUGUCUCAAAGAUUAAGCCAUGCAUGUCUAAGUGUAAAUACGUCUACACUGUGAAACUGCGAAUGGCUCAUUAAAUCAGUUAUCGUUUAUUUGAUGAUCUCUUGUUACAUGGAUAACCGUAGUAAUUCUAGAGCUAAUACAUGCGUCAAUGCCCGACUUUGGAAGGGCUGUGUUUAUUAGAUCCAAAACCAAUGCGGGGCAACCCGGUUACUGGUGAUUCAUAAUAACCUAUCGGACCGAAUGGCCUUGCGCCGUCGGUGCAUCAUUCAAAUUUCUGCCCUAUCAAUUUGUUGGUAGUAUAUAGGACUACCAAGAUGAUUACGGGUAACGGAGAAUUAGGGUUUGAUUCCGGAGAGGGAGCCUGAGAAACGGCUACCACAUCUAAGGAAGGCAGCAGG
This 400-nucleotide ribosomal RNA is filed under the name Nutomonas limna. RNAcentral describes it as "Ancyromonas limna partial small subunit ribosomal RNA". It matches the Rfam family "Eukaryotic small subunit ribosomal RNA", at positions 30 to 432 of the family's 1831-position model. The record is from RNAcentral. Lineage: Eukaryota; Ancyromonadida; Planomonadidae.